CCUUACCUACCCUUGACAUGGAUGGAACUUCGAAGAGAUUUGAAGGUGCCCGAAAGGGAACCAUUACACAGGUGCUGCAUGGCUGUCGUCAGCUCGUGUCGUGAGAUGUUGGGUUAAGUCCCGCAACGAGCGCAACCCUUGUCAUUAGUUGCUACGAAAGGGCACUCUAAUGAGACUGCCGGUGACAAACCGGAGGAAGGUGGGGAUGACGUCAAGUCCUCAUGGCCCUUAUGGGUAGGGCUUCACACGUCAUACAAUGGUACAUACAGAGGGCCGCCAACCCGCGAGGGGGAGCUAAUCCCAGAAAGUGUAUCGUAGUCCGGAUUGUAGUCUGCAACUCGACUACAUGAAGUUGGAAUCGCUAGUAAUCGCGGAUCAGCAUGUCGCGGUGAAUACGUUCCCGGGUCUUGUACACACCGCCCGUCACACCAUGGGAGCGGGUUUUACCAGAAGUAGGUAGCUUAACCGCAAGGAGGGCGCUUACCACGGUAGGAUUCGUGACUGGGGUGAAGUCGUAACAAGGUAGGCGUAGACGU
This 536-nucleotide ribosomal RNA is filed under the name uncultured bacterium. RNAcentral describes it as "bacterial SSU rRNA". It matches the Rfam family "Bacterial small subunit ribosomal RNA", at positions 969 to 1509 of the family's 1533-position model. The record is from RNAcentral.